Molecule: transfer RNA, 77 nt
Filed under: Ictidomys tridecemlineatus (thirteen-lined ground squirrel)
Lineage: Eukaryota; Metazoa; Chordata; Mammalia; Rodentia; Sciuridae
Description: Spermophilus tridecemlineatus (thirteen-lined ground squirrel) tRNA
Rfam family: tRNA
About the family: Transfer RNA (tRNA) molecules are approximately 80 nucleotides in length. Their secondary structure includes four short double-helical elements and three loops (D, anti-codon, and T loops). Further hydrogen bonds mediate the characteristic L-shaped molecular structure. tRNAs have two regions of fundamental functional importance: the anti-codon, which is responsible for specific mRNA codon recognition, and the 3' end, to which the tRNAs corresponding amino acid is attached (by aminoacyl-tRNA synthetases). tRNAs cope with the degeneracy of the genetic code in two manners: having more than one tRNA (with a specific anti-codon) for a particular amino acid; and 'wobble' base-pairing, i.e. permitting non-standard base-pairing at the 3rd anti-codon position.
Source: Rfam by way of RNAcentral
GGGGAUAUAGCUCAGUUAAUUGGUACAGUGCUUGCCUCCCAGGCAAAAGGACCUGGGUUCAAUCCCCAGCACCCCCC